CACGGGGGGGGCAAGCGUUGUUCGGAAUUACUGGGCGUAAAGGGCGCGUAGGCGGCCUGCUAAGUCGGACGUGAAAUCCCUCGGCUCAACCGAGGAACUGCGUCCGAUACUGGUGGGCUUGAAUCCGGGAGAGGGAUGUGGAAUUCCCGGUGUAGCGGUGAAAUGCGCAGAUAUCAGGAAGAACACCAGCGGCGAAGGCGGCACUCUGGGCUGGAAUUGACGCUGAGGAGCGAAAGUGUGGGUAGCAAACAGG
This 253-nucleotide ribosomal RNA is filed under the name uncultured bacterium. RNAcentral's name for it is "partial 16S ribosomal RNA". It matches the Rfam family "Bacterial small subunit ribosomal RNA", at positions 524 to 776 of the family's 1533-position model. The record is from RNAcentral.